UGAAUACGAGACGCUAAGGCGUCGAAGUAGUGUAUGUCGUACUUCCAAGAAAAGCUUGCACUGUCAUAGAUAAAAAACGCCUGUACCAUAACCGACACAGGUGGGUAGGUAGAGUAUACUAAGGGGCGCGAGAUAACUCUCUCUAAGGAACUCGGCAAAAUAACUCCGUAACUUCGGGAGAAGGAGUGCCUUAUUCGUAAGGUUGCAAUAACAAGAUCCAAGCAACUGUUUAUCAAAAACACAGGUCUCCGCUAAGUCGUAAGACGAUGUAUGGGGGCUGACGCCUGCCCAGUGCCAGAAGGUUAAAGAAGUUGGUUAGCAAUUGCGAAGCUGAUAACUGAAGCCCUGGUGAACGGCGGCCGUAACGAUAACGGUCCUAAGGUAGCGAAAUUCCUUGUCGGGUAAGUUCCGACCCGCACGAAAGGCGUAAUGAUUUGGAUACUGUCUCGGAGAGGGGCUCGGUGAAAUAGACUUGUCUGUGAAGAUGCGGACUACCUGCACCAGGACAGAAAGACCCUAUGAAGCUUUACUGUAACUUGAAAUUGAAAUUGGACUUUAUUCGCGCAGUAUAGGUGGGAGGCGUUGAUUAUAAUCUUGUGGGAUUAUUGGAGCCAUCAGUGAGAUACCACUCUUGUAAUGUUAGAUUUCUAACUUUGAAUCAUUAUCUGGUCAAAGAACAGUUUCAGGCGGGCAGUUUGACUGGGGCGGUCGCCUCCUAAACGGUAACGGAGGCGUACAAAGGUUUCCUCUGAACGGUUAGAAAUCGUAUCUAGAGUGUAAAGGCAUAAGGAAGCUUGACUGUGAGACCUACAAGUCGAGCAGGGACGAAAGUCGGUCUUAGUGAUCUGACGGUACUGAGUGGAAAGGCCGUCACUCAACGGAUAAAAGUUACUCUAGGAUAACAGGCUGAUCUCCCCCAAGAGUUCACAUCGACGGGGAGGUUUGGCACCUCGAUGUCGGCUCAUCGCAUCCUGGGGCGGUAGUACGUCCCAAGGGUUGGGCUGUUCGCCCAUGAAAGCGGUACGCGAGCUGGGUUCAGAACGUCGUGAGACAGUUCGGUCCAUAUCCGGUGUAGGCGUUAGAAUACUGAGAGGAGCCUUCUUUAGUACGAGAGGACCGAGAAGGACAUACCUCUGGUGUACCAGUUAUCGUGCCAACGGUAAACGCUGGGUAGCUAUGUAUGGAGUGGAUAACCGCUGAAAGCAUCUAAGUGGGAAGCCCACCUCAAGAUAAGUAUUCUC
This 1241-nucleotide ribosomal RNA is filed under the name metagenome. RNAcentral's name for it is "bacterial LSU rRNA". It matches the Rfam family "Bacterial large subunit ribosomal RNA", at positions 1564 to 2815 of the family's 2925-position model. The record is from RNAcentral.